Molecule: ribosomal RNA, 495 nt
Filed under: uncultured bacterium
Lineage: Bacteria
Description: partial 16S ribosomal RNA
Rfam family: Bacterial small subunit ribosomal RNA
Source: RNAcentral
GAUGAACGCUGGCGGCGUGCUUAACACAUGCAAGUCGAACGAAGCACCUCUCCCGAAGAUUGACACAGCUUGCUGUAGAUUGAUUCAUUUGAGGUGACUGAGUGGCGGACGGGUGAGUAACGCGUGGGUAACCUGCCUCAUAGAGGGGGACAACAGUUGGAAACGACUGCUAAUACCGCAUAGUAAGAAGAAUUCGCAUGUUUUCUUCUUGAAAGAUUUAUCGCUAUGAGAUGGACCCGCGUCUGAUUAGCUAGUUGGUAAGGUAACGGCUUACCAAGGCGACGAUCAGUAGCCGGCUUGAGAGAGUGAACGGCCACAUUGGGACUGAGACACGGCCCAAACUCCUACGGGAGGCAGCAGUGGGGAAUAUUGCACAAUGGGGGAAACCCUGAUGCAGCGACGCCGCGUGAGUGAAGAAGUCUUUAGGUAUGUAAAGCUCUAUCAGCAGGGAAGAUAAUGACGGUACCUGAAGAAGAAGCCCCGGCUAACUACGUG